Long non-coding RNA from Oxyura jamaicensis (ruddy duck), 949 nucleotides. RefSeq lists it as uncharacterized. The transcript has 2 exons. The record is from RefSeq and is a predicted model, not a curated record. Lineage: Eukaryota; Metazoa; Chordata; Aves; Anseriformes; Anatidae.
CUUGGGAACUUAAGAGCACCUCUUGUUUUAAAAAUCUGAUUUUCUGAUACACGGAACUGCAGCCCUCUACUCAGCCUUUCCGAGCUGCUUUAGCACCUUCUUCAAAGCUGCCUGCAAUUAGGUCUCUUGUUAGAAGAGAAAUAAUAUUACUUGAAACCCAAACCCCCUGUGAUUGUGCCCCAGAGGCAAUACUUGUAGAACGAUGGAGAAGGUCAGCAGCAACACUGCAAACGCUUCCUGUAAUUUCAGAGAACCGGAGGAGAAAAAGGAUGGGUGAAAUCCUGCGGCAGCUGCUAGAGGAGCGAAGGCACAGAAGCGAGCCUGGAGACAGCCGAUGAUGUAGGAAUCUCUGCUACCCUAUUAAAAAAAAAAAAAAAAAAAAAGAGGCCCAGGGUCGAAGCCUGUAGGAGUAGAAAUUAACACUUGGACAAUCGUCUUACGUGCCUUCUGGUUUCUGCAGUGCGUUUAAAAGCAGACAGGCUUUCACUGGAUGUCAUUGUUAAAACAAGUUUUAUGAUCCUCUGUGGCAUGACUUGACAUCUCAAUACUCGGGGUUGGCAAUGCAAUAAAGUUCUGUUAUGUAAUUAUUCUUGGUUAUUUCUAAGUAUUAAUUUGGAUGGCAAGCUGAUUCAGCUAGCCCAAACCCUGGACCACAGGGGAAGAUGGGAAUUUCAUCAAAUUGACACCAAAGGGCUGGAGUUAGCAAUGGUCUUAUUUAAAGCCUUCACGCAGAUGAAUCCAGAGGAAGCUGCAAUUAUUCCUCUCCUUUAAAGAAUCACAAGAGCAAGUAAACAGCACAGCAUGUGACUGAGACAAUUCUGCCAUUUCUAUUAAUUAAGUGUAAAAUAGUGAAAACAAAGGAUAUUAUUAAACAUGUCAACAGAAAAUUAAACCAGGGGCGGAUUCUUGACAAACUGAGCUCAAUCUAAAGAAAAAAAAAUAAUCUGAA